AUCCACUCGUCCCAAAUAGGACGAAACGCGCGUCCUGGAU
Molecule: non-coding RNA, 40 nt
Filed under: Schistosoma mansoni
Lineage: Eukaryota; Metazoa; Platyhelminthes; Trematoda; Strigeidida; Schistosomatidae
Source: RNAcentral